Molecule: long non-coding RNA, 742 nt
Organism: Pygocentrus nattereri (red-bellied piranha)
Lineage: Eukaryota; Metazoa; Chordata; Actinopteri; Characiformes; Serrasalmidae
Source: Ensembl
AUGGCGGUAUUUUUCAGUCGGUGUCUGCAGGAGCUUCCAAAAAUGACGUUCAUCGGAUAUGUAAGGAGACCAGUAAAGCCCCCUCUAGCAAGUUGGAGAAGGGCUUUAAAUUGUAUGCCUCGUCAUACAUACACAACUACGAAGAUUGGACUUUCUGAUUCAUCUCCUGUUGUGCUGACACACACAUGCUGUUCAUGUGUCGCAGGCACUGCCCUAUGCAACCAUAUAGUGGCUUUGCUUUUUCAAACUGCACAUUUUUCUCAGCUCAGUGUGCCAGUCGUUCCCCCUGUGCACAGCUGUACUGAAACUGAACAGCGCUGGCACAAACCUCGGACAAUCGGUGUAAAGCCAGGACCAAUCAACAACAUGGUGAUCACAAAACCUGUGCCAAAUCGAACAUCUCAAGGUGGAGUUAGGAGUGGACUCUACAGGGGCAUGGUGGGCCCUUUACCGGAUCCAUGCAUGUUUAGAGUGACAGAGGCCUAUGAAAAAUUCAGCCUUGAAGACAAACCACUGGUGACCACUAUGGGCAUGGCACCCCACAAGCCAGCUGUGCAGUGUGCAUUUGGUAUGGUGCAGGAAGGCAGUGUUCUGUCAUAUCAGCAGCCUGUUUUACCAUCAUGACACAUCACUCUCCACCCUGAUGUGCCAUCAACCCCACUUCUUCCUCUAAAAGACCACCACCUUGAUGCACCCACCUGUGCUUUUGUGUGCACUGAACAGGAACUCUUUCACCUGAAGU